UACGUAGGGACCGAGCGUUGUCCGGAUUCAUUGGGCGUAAAGAGCUCGUAGGCGGCCACUCAAGUCGAAUGUGAAACCUCGAGGCUUAACCUCGAGCCUGCAUUCGAUACUGGGUGGCUAGAGUCUGGUAGGGGGAUCUGGAAUUCCUGGUGUAGCGGUGGAAUGCGUAGAUAUCAAGUGGAACACCAGUGGCGAAGGCGAAUCCCUGGAAAAUACCUGACACUGAGGCACGAAAGCUAGGGGAGCGAACAGG
Molecule: ribosomal RNA, 253 nt
Filed under: uncultured bacterium
Lineage: Bacteria
Description: partial 16S ribosomal RNA
Rfam family: Bacterial small subunit ribosomal RNA
Source: RNAcentral